CCUCCUUUACUUGGCAGGGACAGAGCAUGCAGUCCCGCUCCCCAUUAUGUAUGGAGGCAGAGAGAAAGAGCUCUGGCCCCUUUGGCACCAUGUCUUCGGUGCCAGCAGCUUCCUGUACGCUGGUUCUAUCCUCAAGCACCAGGAUACCA
RNAcentral lists this small nucleolar RNA (149 nucleotides) under Microcebus murinus (gray mouse lemur). RNAcentral describes it as "Small nucleolar RNA SNORA57 (ENSMICG00000042208.1)". It matches the Rfam family "Small nucleolar RNA SNORA57". From Rfam's summary of the family: U99 belongs to the H/ACA class of snoRNAs which are thought to guide the sites of modification of uridines to pseudouridines, the target for this family is unknown. Lineage: Eukaryota; Metazoa; Chordata; Mammalia; Primates; Cheirogaleidae. The record is from Rfam by way of RNAcentral.